UACGUAGGGUGCAAGCGUUGUCCGGAAUUAUUGGGCGUAAAGCGCGUGUAGGCGGCUUGUUAUGUCGGGUGUGAAAGCCCUCAGCUUAACUGAGGAAGUGCGCCCGAAACUGGCGAGCUUGAGUGCCGGAGAGGAUAGCGGAACACCCGGUGUAGAGGUGAAAUUCGUAGAUAUCGGGUAGAACACCAGUGGCGAAGGCGGCUAUCUGGACGGACACUGACGCUGAGACGCGAAAGCGUGGGGAGCAAACAGG
RNAcentral lists this ribosomal RNA (253 nucleotides) under uncultured bacterium. RNAcentral describes it as "partial 16S ribosomal RNA". It matches the Rfam family "Bacterial small subunit ribosomal RNA", at positions 524 to 776 of the family's 1533-position model. The record is from RNAcentral.